GGUGGCUCAGUGGUAGAGUGCUUGCCUUGCAUGCACAAAGCCCUGAGUUCGAUUCCUCAGCACCA
Molecule: transfer RNA, 65 nt
Filed under: Dipodomys ordii (Ord's kangaroo rat)
Lineage: Eukaryota; Metazoa; Chordata; Mammalia; Rodentia; Heteromyidae
Rfam family: tRNA
About the family: Transfer RNA (tRNA) molecules are approximately 80 nucleotides in length. Their secondary structure includes four short double-helical elements and three loops (D, anti-codon, and T loops).
Source: Rfam by way of RNAcentral